Molecule: ribosomal RNA, 439 nt
Filed under: uncultured bacterium
Lineage: Bacteria
Description: partial 16S ribosomal RNA
Rfam family: Bacterial small subunit ribosomal RNA
Source: RNAcentral
CUACGGGAGGCUCCAGUAGGGAAUAUUGCGCAAUGGAGGAAACUCUGACGCAGCAACGCCGCGUGAGUGAUGAAGGCCCUCGGGUCGUAAAGCUCUGUCGUACGGGAAGAUGAUGACGGUACCGUACAAGAAAGCACCGGCUAACUUCGUGCCAGCAGCCGCGGUAAGACGAGGGGUGCUAGCGUUGUUCGGAAUUACUGGGCGUAAAGCGCAUGUAGGCGGUUUGGUAUGUCUGGUGUGAAAGCCCUGGGCUUAACCCAGGAAGUGCAUUUGAAACUGCUAGACUUGAGUAUCGGAGAGGGCAACGGAAUUCCUGGUGUAGUGGUGAAAUACGUAGAUAUCAGGAGGAACACCGGAGGCGAAGGCGGUUGCCUGGCCGACUACUGACGCUGAGAUGCGAAAGCGUGGGGAGCAAACAGGAUUAGAUACCCUAGUAGUC